UACCUCAUUGAUCCAGUG
RNAcentral lists this non-coding RNA (18 nucleotides) under Arabidopsis thaliana (thale cress). The record is from RNAcentral. Lineage: Eukaryota; Viridiplantae; Streptophyta; Magnoliopsida; Brassicales; Brassicaceae.